GACGUAGGGUGCGAGCGUUGUCCGGAUUUAUUGGGCGUAAAGAGCUCGUAGGCGGCUCGUCGCGUCGGUUGUGAAAACCCGCGGCUUAACUGUGGGCUUGCAGCUGAUACGGGCGGGCUAGAGUUCGGUAGGGGAGACUGGAAUUCCUGGUGUAGCGGUGAAAUGCGCAGAUAUCAGGAGGAACACCGGUGGCGAAGGCGGGUCUCUGGGCCGAUACUGACGCUGAGGAGCGAAAGCGUGGGGAGCGAACAGG
RNAcentral lists this ribosomal RNA (253 nucleotides) under uncultured bacterium. RNAcentral describes it as "partial 16S ribosomal RNA". It matches the Rfam family "Bacterial small subunit ribosomal RNA", at positions 524 to 776 of the family's 1533-position model. The record is from RNAcentral.